RNAcentral lists this ribosomal RNA (822 nucleotides) under Triticum aestivum (bread wheat). RNAcentral describes it as "partial small subunit ribosomal RNA". The record is from RNAcentral. Lineage: Eukaryota; Viridiplantae; Streptophyta; Magnoliopsida; Poales; Poaceae.
AUGGACAGGUUCCACGACAGGCAGCACGUGUGGCUGCGGAGCUGCGUGCACGGCACGUACCUCAACGCCGACAGCGACGGGAAGAGCGUCUCCCUCCGCCAGCGCCGCGAGUCGCUAAAGGCGGCGUGGGCGGUGCACAUCUACCAGGGCGACGUGCCGUACCUGCUCCUCUACAGCGCCGCCUACGGCCGCUACCUCGCCGCCACGGCCACGCCGGCGCCGCUCGCCCACCUCGGCUUCCGCGCCGAGCAGCGCGACUACGACCAGCCGGUGGUGCCGGCCAUCGGCGGCCGCUACCUCCGCGCCAACGGCAAGCACACCAGCAAGUACCUCCGCUGGAACAACGGCGUCACCGUCGACGACGUCGACAACGUCAGCACCAUGAUGCACUGGACCGUCGAGCCCAUCCCCCUCAGAGGGCCGGACAUGCCUCAGCCGGGCUUUGCUGCCCCGAUUCCGAGCCGCAUCCCCCGAGAUCUGUCCGUGAUGCUGGGACGCGAGCGAGGGGUGUGGCGGCUGAUCCGGUUCGUGCGAGCGAGCGCCGAGGGGGAGUACGCCGAGGACGGCAACGGCUGGACCGAGUUCCAGUUCAGGGGGAGGUACGUGUACCACCUGAGGAACGAGCUGGCCAAACGCAUCAACGCCGAGGUGCACUUGUUCGAGCUCGCCAUGUGCGUCCGAGCGGGCCGCUACGGGCGUUUGAUCCCGCUCGUCGUCAACCUGCCCCACGGACGCAACGGCGAGACCCUCCAGAUUGUCCUCUGCCUCUCCAGGACCCCUGCCUAUGAUGAGCUGCGUCACCCGGAUGUCUAUUCACAGUAG